Molecule: non-coding RNA, 276 nt
Organism: Pimephales promelas (fathead minnow)
Lineage: Eukaryota; Metazoa; Chordata; Actinopteri; Cypriniformes; Leuciscidae
Source: RefSeq, a predicted model, not a curated record
UGAAGACAACACACCGGACACCCCUGAGAUUUCACAGCAGGAACUUCUUGAAGUUUGCCCUCAACGUCCUGAUCAUCAGGAAGGAACUACAUUCAAUGUUGCCACUACAAGUGAAAAUCUUACUAGACGUGCAGCUGCAUUUACCGUUAAUAUCCGGGGAAAAUGCCACCUGUCACAGAGGAACAUCAACAGCAUUGUCUCUGGAGUCCAGCAGUAUCAAACUUCUCUUCUGAAUACACUGAAGGACAGAAUGAAGAGGAUCUUCGAAAGACAUUC